RNAcentral lists this ribosomal RNA (1303 nucleotides) under Bacillus licheniformis. RNAcentral describes it as "bacterial SSU rRNA". It matches the Rfam family "Bacterial small subunit ribosomal RNA", at positions 61 to 1346 of the family's 1533-position model. The record is from RNAcentral. Lineage: Bacteria; Bacillati; Bacillota; Bacilli; Caryophanales; Bacillaceae.
GUCGAGCGGACCGACGGGAGCUUGCUCCCUUAGGUCAGCGGCGGACGGGUGAGUAACACGUGGGUAACCUGCCUGUAAGACUGGGAUAACUCCGGGAAACCGGGGCUAAUACCGGAUGCUUGAUUGAACCGCAUGGUUCAAUCAUAAAAGGUGGCUUUUAGCUACCACUUGCAGAUGGACCCGCGGCGCAUUAGCUAGUUGGUGAGGUAACGGCUCACCAAGGCGACGAUGCGUAGCCGACCUGAGAGGGUGAUCGGCCACACUGGGACUGAGACACGGCCCAGACUCCUACGGGAGGCAGCAGUAGGGAAUCUUCCGCAAUGGACGAAAGUCUGACGGAGCAACGCCGCGUGAGUGAUGAAGGUUUUCGGAUCGUAAAACUCUGUUGUUAGGGAAGAACAAGUACCGUUCGAAUAGGGCGGCACCUUGACGGUACCUAACCAGAAAGCCACGGCUAACUACGUGCCAGCAGCCGCGGUAAUACGUAGGUGGCAAGCGUUGUCCGGAAUUAUUGGGCGUAAAGCGCGCGCAGGCGGUUUCUUAAGUCUGAUGUGAAAGCCCCCGGCUCAACCGGGGAGGGUCAUUGGAAACUGGGGAACUUGAGUGCAGAAGAGGAGAGUGGAAUUCCACGUGUAGCGGUGAAAUGCGUAGAGAUGUGGAGGAACACCAGUGGCGAAGGCGACUCUCUGGUCUGUAACUGACGCUGAGGCGCGAAAGCGUGGGGAGCGAACAGGAUUAGAUACCCUGGUAGUCCACGCCGUAAACGAUGAGUGCUAAGUGUUAGAGGGUUUCCGCCCUUUAGUGCUGCAGCAAACGCAUUAAGCACUCCGCCUGGGGAGUACGGUCGCAAGACUGAAACUCAAAGGAAUUGACGGGGGCCCGCACAAGCGGUGGAGCAUGUGGUUUAAUUCGAAGCAACGCGAAGAACCUUACCAGGUCUUGACAUCCUCUGACAACCCUAGAGAUAGGGCUUCCCCUUCGGGGGCAGAGUGACAGGUGGUGCAUGGUUGUCGUCAGCUCGUGUCGUGAGAUGUUGGGUUAAGUCCCGCAACGAGCGCAACCCUUGAUCUUAGUUGCCAGCAUUCAGUUGGGCACUCUAAGGUGACUGCCGGUGACAAACCGGAGGAAGGUGGGGAUGACGUCAAAUCAUCAUGCCCCUUAUGACCUGGGCUACACACGUGCUACAAUGGGCAGAACAAAGGGCAGCGAAGCCGCGAGGCUAAGCCAAUCCCACAAAUCUGUUCUCAGUUCGGAUCGCAGUCUGCAACUCGACUGCGUGAAGCUGGAAUCGCUAGUAAUCGCG